Non-coding RNA from Xyrichtys novacula (pearly razorfish), 7715 nucleotides. The record is from the annotation of a GenBank genome assembly. NCBI's taxonomy places the organism in Eukaryota, Metazoa, Chordata, Actinopteri, Labriformes, Labridae.
GGACGUUGUCCGUGUUUGUUCUUUUGAGUGAUUGAUCGCGGAAAACGAAGGACACAUGCUAUGAGAAGAAGAUGUUACAUGUAUGGUACGGGAAUCCGCUUCAUGUAAAGGAUGAAACAUCGUUAAUAGCGCUUAACUGGAUGGUGCAAAGGUAUGUUUGUGGGGGCUGUUCAUGUGUAAAUUGAUUUGUUGUCCGGUUUGCUAACCUUGUGUAUGUGAUUGACAAGUGCGCCCGGAUGAAAAUGUGAGAGUGUAAUUGUGCUUUGUGUUUUAUUUCAGCUCUUACGGUGUCUGUGGUGUGUGUGUUAAAAAAAUUAAAAGUUGAAGCCACAUCACAGUGCAUCUGUCCUCGUUCAUGGAGUCUUGAAAUCCAGUUGAGAUGCUACACUGGUGGAGUCCAGAGUGACACUAUUAACACAUUCUCAUCCCUUUUGAACAGAGCGUGGCUGGGCAGCAGCAGGAGGCUCCCUCUACGUCCACGGCACACAUUGACUCCCAGUUACCAGUAAAAGAGGUGUAUAAAAUACAUCUUUUAAAAGAAAUACAAAAAAUGGAUAAAGAGAUGCUAUUGCUGGGCCGGCAGAUAAAAAAAGCAGAUCUCGAAAUAGAAAUACUGGAGCACAACUUAAAGGUGGGUGCAUUGUCACGCGUCAUUUAUGUCAAUGAUGUGAACUAUUGGAACAUUAACUUAACUGUCUUUUUGUAUUUGUAGGAAAUAAAGAAAAACAACUGAAAUGCGCUUCAUGAUUUUUUUUAUUUCUGGGGGUGGUGAUGGUGAUGGUGAUGGUGAUGGUGAUGGGGGUGGGGGUGCUUGAAACUCAAAAGUGGUUACGGCAGAUUGCGUCUCUGACUGCUCGGCCGUCCUGAAUUGGUGGCAGGUGGAUGGGGUCAUCAUCUGGCUCCGCAAUUUGUAUGGCGGGGUGUUGCUCUCCUCUAAUAGUGGCAAUAUUAGAUAUUACAGCACCGAAACCGCACUGCUAAAAAUUACUAACGACCUUCUCACUGCAUCUGACUCCGGUUCACUUUCCAUCCUCAUCCUCCUCGACCUUAGUGCAGCCUUCGACACUAUCUCCCAUCCCAUCCUCCUUCGUAGACUCUCCUCCAUCGGCAUCACCCACACUCCCCUCCGUUGGUUCCACUCUUACCUCUCAGACCGCACACAGUUCAUCCAGCUCAAAUCAUUCAAGUCCGACCCCUCCCCAGUCAGUUCAGGUGUGCCCCAGGGCUCUGUCCUGGGGCCCCUGCUGUUCAUCAUCUACCUCCUCCCCCUUGGUUCCAUCUUCCAUAAAUACAACAUUCGAUACCACUGCUACGCUGACGACACCCAGCUCUACCUCUCCAGCUCACCAAACUCCACCCUCCCACCCACCUCCCUCAUCACCUGCCUAUCUGAAAUUAAAUCCUGGUUCACCUCCAACUUUCUCCAAUUAAACAGUCAGAAAACAGAAAUUCUUCUUGUAGGUUCCAAAUCCACCCUAUCCAAAGUUGACAGUCUCUCCCUUCCCAUCGACAGUUCCUCAGUUUCCCCCUCACCUCAGGUCAAGAGUCUGGAUGUCGUCCUUGACAGUUCUCUUUCUUUUAAAUCCCACAUCAGCCUUACCACUCGCACUGCCUAUUUCCACCUCCGCCACAUCAAUCGUCUCCGCCCCUCCCUCUCCCCCAACACCACCUCCAUCCUCGUCCACAGUCUCGUCACCUCCCGUCUGGAUUACUGCAACUCCCUCCUCUUCGGUCUCCCUUACACGUCUCUCCAUAAAUUUCAACUGGUCCACAACUCCGCUGCCCGUAUCAUCACCAAAACCCCUUCGUCCAACCACAUCACCCCCAUCCUUCAGCAGCUUCACUGGCUCCCGGUCCCUCUACGAAUCCAGUUCAAAAUCCUCCUGUAUACCUUCAAAGCCAUCCACAACCUCGCCCCUCCUUACCUGUCUGACCUCCUCCACAUCGCCACUCCAACACGCCACCUCCGUUCCUCUUCCUCUCUCCACCUCUCUGUGCCCCCUGUUCACCUCAGAACUAUGGGGGGCAGAGCUUUCAGUCGCUCUGCCCCCCGACUCUGGAACUCUUUACCAUCACACAUCCGCAACAUAGACUCCCUCCCCCUCUUCAAGUCCAAACUCAAAACACACCUGUUUAAACUGGCCUAUCCCUCCCACCACCCCUAACCCACUUUUUUAAAUUAAAUUUCAAUUGGUAUUAUUAAUUUCUUUAUUUAUUCCUUUGCUGUUGUUUAUGUUUAAUGUUGCUUUGUUGAUUUUAACUGUUUGAUGAUUAAUGAUUUUAAUUGUUAAUAGUGUUUUAUUAUUGUUUUUAUAUGUUCUGUAAAGUGUCCUUGAGUGACGUGAAAGGCGCUUCAAAUAAAAUGUAUUAUUAUUAUUUAUUUAUUAUUAUAUUAUGAAGAACAACACAUGCCACUAUAAUAUCACAGGCCCUCUCGGGGGUCACCCUGGGGUGACGUAGGCACUGGAAACGAGCUUUCAGCAGGCCUAUGGUCAUCUCCACCCGGGCUCUCGUCCUGCAGUGAGCCCGGUUGAAGUUCUGUUGGGGGCCUGGUUCAGGGUCGGGGUAUGGGGUCAGUAGCCUCGGUUGACAUGGGUAACCCCUGUCGCCCAGCAGAAGGCCGUCAAACUCUCCUGUAAUAUAGAGUGGAUGCAUGGAGUGUAUUAAAGGAGGGAGACAAGAGAGUUAUACUGCAAACCUUCAGGCUUCUUACCACGUUGGAGUCUGGCUCUCAGGAUUGACUCGCGGAACAUCCUCGAGUCGUGGACUGAUCCCGGCCACUUGGCCUCCACAUUGGUGAUGAUAUUUUUAGCAUCACAUAUGAUCUUGACAGUGCAGAGAAUGAUAGAUGUUAAUUGAACUAUGAUGAGGUGUUUAACAUGUUGAAGCAGUAUAUGUACCUGCACAUUGAUGCUAUGUGUCGACUUCCUGUUCACAUAAUCUCCCUCAUUAUGUGAAGGAGCCCUGAUGGGGAUGUGCGUGCCAUCAACGCAGCCUAUUACAUUGGGGAAUCCUAAAACAAAUUUCCUAAUCUCAGUAUGAUGUUACAGCACAAUAUCAAUAUAGGGUGACAAUAUUUUGAUUUCCACAAUUACGACAAAAUAGGACAUUUUCAGGAAUUAAUAUAAACAAAAAAGACCUCUGGACAGGACAUAAAAAGAUGACAUGUCCGGACGUUUUACAAUUAAUACCACGAAACAGAUCUGUACAUCCUUUACCUGCGAUCCUGCGGAACUCCUCUUUGAUGGCUCGGACAGGUUUGUGUCCAGGAAAGGCCACAAAAAGCCGUUUCAGGGCGAGGCACACUUUUUGUAUUGCCCUGCAUACUGUUGCCUUGCUUAAAUGCUCCACAUCUCCAAUGUUGUACAAAAAACUCCCAUUUGCGAAGUAACGCAGCGCAACACAUAAAAUCUGCUCUGAUGUGAGCGCAUGACUGCGACCGGUGAUGUUUGAAAUGUGUGGUUGGAUAAGGUUGUGAAUAUAAAUAAUAGAUUGUGAAGAAAAACGAUACCGCUCAAAAAGAAAAUUGUCCGGGUGGGCUAAAAUAUCAAUUCGGGGUCUGAGGAUGAUCUCUCGGUGAAUAUGUAUUCCCCCGCGCAUGAUCGCUGCACCUUCGUCAACUGGAUCUAUAUCAAAAGGACACGCCAUCGUUGUAGAUUGCAGUAGCUACUGUGCCGAACGGACCAAGAUGACUUAAAUCAGCUGUUCAAAACUCACCGGCUGACAGAAAUCAAAAGGAGUGUGUGGCUGAAAAAGGGCGGAGACAGAGAGAAACUCUGGGUUUACUAGGUUAAACCUGCUCCCGAGCAGGUUAGGUUCACGGAGUCUGUUACUAUGGCAACUGACCGCGAGGUUGAGUUACCUCUCUUUGUGAAACAGGUUAGAGUUACCCCUCUCUCCCUGGUUUAACUAACCCUCCUUUGUGAAACGGAAAACUCCGAGUUUGUUAACCCUGAAAUCAGGGAAACUCUGAGUUUCCAUUAAACCUGCUACGUGAAACGGACCUCUGGUGGCGAAGAAAGUCAGAGCCGCUGUCACCCUCACAGCAACUGGGAGAGCGCAUGGGCCACCAGGGUCCGCAUCUGAGGCCACAAUGUGUGUAAUCGCGUGGACCACCUCACGGGACAGGUGUAAUUUGUUCCUGUGUCAAGGAAAAUAGUAGAUUGUUAAAAGGCAGUUGCAUUGAACACGGUGUUGGAGGCGUGUUGUUAAGGUUAAAUAUGAUGCCCUUUGAUGAAUCACCCUCGUCCUGUAAUUUCUCCUCCUCCUCCUCCACCUCCUUGCAAUUAUGUACUCCAUCUUUGUAGAUAAUGUUAAGCAUGGAAAUUAUUAAAUCUGUAGCUAUGUGAGAUCACAUGCUGCAGGUAAAUCUUGAGAACAACGGUCAUAACUUACUUUGCUUCAGUGUGCGUUGAUUUUUUCUCAGUGUUCUGAGAUGACAUGCCAAAUAUAUACUCUCUCUGUGAUGUCGAAGCUGUUUGUGGUUGGUAGAGAGAUGUGAAGUAGUUAGUUUGCAUCAGAGUUUCAGCUGUGUUAGUCGGUCAGGUCGAGUGGCAAUUAGGCGUGCCAAACACGCUCCUAAGAUAUACAUCAAAAUAUGCUGAUGUACUGUAGAUCUAAAUGUAUGUGCUGCAUAUAUUUAAAUCCCACAUGACAAAGAUGAGUUGUGCGCACAGAUCACACCAUAAAUUCCAAUAAUGGCAUUAAAAUCACAACCAUCUGUGCGUAAUGACGCAUCACGCUCCUUGGCCUCAUGGCUCUCUCUUUCAUAGAUGUUGGCAUAUAAAAUAAAUUUGGUUCACAAAACUAAAUAUUAUAAUAUUCGUAUGUAGGCUUAAAGAAAAUAACUCAUCUGAUCACUGAAACAAAUCAUCCGUUCAGCCGCUGCUGCAGCAGCUGCUGCAGGACGGAGAGGACACAGACACAUAUCCAGGUCGAGCUGCAUGAGACAUAAGAGGAGGGAGACAAAUUAAAUAUCUUGUUAACUUCAUCAUUUGUGUUUAUUUACUAGAUAUUUAAUUUAAUUUAAUGCGGUUGCACCUGUGUUGAUUCGGUCAGGUUGUGUGUCCAAAUGCUUGCCAAACGUGCUCAUCGGAUCAGCUAUAGAUCAGAAUAUAUCGAUAUAGAUCUAAAUGUAUGUGCUGACUCAGAUUAUUAGUUGUUGAUGAUUAUUUAUUGCACUGAAAUGUGUCUGACUAUGGAAACCUGCUGGUGAGGCAUCAGUGACGUAUGCAGAUACGCCGCCGGUCUGCCAAAAUACUACUAGACCAGUUGCGCUCCGCCUUGUGCUGAAAGCUGACCAGGUUUGAAUCUGCGAGCUUUCAGCGCACUUUACACGCCGGUGGCAAGCACGAAAAUGUCACUGCGCCCGCUGUCGACACCUCCCCCUGCCACGCCACCACGCCCAGCUUGGUGGAUCUCGGUUCACCUCCAUGUGGCUCAGUCCACAAAAAUACCGAACUGGCUGUACGCCGGGCUGCGCCAGACGAAAAUACAACUGCGCGGGGCUCGCCGCCCUCCGCCGCAUCACAGGGUGUACUCGAAAAUAGAGCCCCUUAUGUUCAGUAGACCACAUUUUGUUCAGUAGACCACAUUUUAUCUUACUACUACUCGGUUUUAAUUCUAGUAAGGUUCUUGUUAUUUACUCCUUUGUUAAUCGAUUGGUUAGAAUUAAAGAGCCGAGGACGAGGGACAAUCACAAAAUCUCUAUAUUAAAAUGAUAGUAGCUAGGAGGCUGGUCUAACAAAAGUGCAGAGAAAGGUGGAAUUGCAGCUAUGCCCCCUGAUCUCUAUAUCAAACUGAUUGUAGCUAGAAAGCUGCGCUGAAGGGAGUGCAGAGGUGUGUGUAAGACUGCGGCUCUGCUCCCUUGUCUCUGUAUAAAAGUGAUAGUGGCUGGGAUGCUGCUCUAAAGGAGGCGCAGAGGGGCGUGUAGGACUGCGGCCCUGCUCCCUGAUCUCUGCUCUGAGUUGUCAGUGGUUUGGACUAAUAAAACCGGACAGAUUUCUGGAUAAAGGGCCGCUCCAUCUCGAGUGGGAUGAAUGCCGUCCCGACUAAACAGACCAGGCUUGCCCCAAAACGACUUCGAAUCAUCAAUGAAGCCCACACCAUUUUGCGAACACCACCUCGACAGCCAGUAGUUGAAUGAUGAGAUACGGCUACACAUCUCAAAUGACUCAAUGUUGUGGAGGUUGAAUUAAUAGUUGUGAGAACUUUCAUUCUGAACUGAGAAAUGCACCAAAACAACAGAGAAAAAGUGUGAGCAUCUUGUAAUUGCACCUGUUGUGAAGUGGCACCAUAGAUAGAUAGAUAGAUAGAUAGAUAGAUAGAUAGAUAGAUAGAUAGAUAGAAUAACAAACUGAACAGAGACACUAUAUAGGCUUAUUAUGGGUUUUGCCGAUUAAACCAUCUCAAAGUGUGGUGAAGCAAGUGUAUCCUGGAGAGGAGUAAGUAAUUUUCAGUUUUCAGCUUUAAGACCAUUGGGUUUUACCUCAGAAACAGAUUUUUGCUGGAGCCUGAUGUCACAAUUGUGCACAUAUCAGCACAGUCUACUUUCAUUUUCGAAGAAGAAGCAGAAGAAGAAGGAAACAAGUUAAGGAAAGGAUAUGGAACAGCAGAGACUGACACAAGAAAGGUUAGUAUGACAUUCAAAACAGGAGACAAAAAACCUGCAAACUAAUGUUACUUCAUAGCACUCCAUAUGCUGUCAAACCUCAGACUUCAUAGGCCAACUUAGAGGAUGUCAGACCUGUGUGACCUUGGGGUGUCAGCCACAAUGAUCUGUCAUAAACAUUCAUCCUUUGUUCUCCACCAAGUAACCUUCUAUUGAAACCAUGUUUAAAAUCAUCUAUGCCAUUUAUUUAACAGGUGUCCAAUAAUGGUGGUAUUCUUGCGACAGAUAGAGAGCUGACAGUCAGCUUAAAAUUCAACGUGAUGAUUUCAGAAUGCAGAAAAGAAUCUGUCUUUGGAAUAGAGAGCAGAACACCACCAGACACUGAUAACACAGAGAGGUGAGAUGGAAAUCAAUAAGAUAAAAUUUCAGAUUAUGCUAAUAUUAAAUAUGAUUUGAAUAUUGAGGAAAGACCCAGAUAAAUGACUGUUGAAAAUGUAGAACUUAAAUCACAGAUGAGCUCUACACUCAAUACUUUAUUUUGAGGUUAACAACACAAUCACUUCAAUAAAGUUUCAUCAUGAGAACCUUUACCUGAUAUGUAGACUGGCUCUUACCAGAAUCAUCUGUCACAUUCAUGCAACACACAAAUGUCUGAUGAGCAGCACCUGAUUAGAAACUGACAUUUAAUUAACUUUAGCGCAAACUCAAAAGACUGCUCUGACGUCUGCUGCUGAGUGCACAUGAUUCAUCUGACAUUUUUGCUCCAAAACUCUUGGAAGACCACAUGCACCACAUGCAUCCUCCAUAUGUUUUGUUCAUAGAUACAGAUGUUUCGGUGAGGUUGGACUCUGUUGGCAGGGUCUGACUCUAAACAUGCUGCAACUUUUUACAUUAAUGUAUUAGACUUUUUGAUUGUCAUUUCAUGAGAUUGUGGAGUGGGGCUAUUGAUUGUCGUAUUGGGAGAGUCUACUCACCUCCAUUCUAUCAUGCUGUAAACCAGAUCCUCCUGCUAUUUUUUUUUCCUAUUUUGUCUCUAGCCAAUAGUCUGACUGCAGAGCGUGUAAGUAGACCCUGAAACCACAAUGUCAACCUCUGAUUUCUAAGC